GUGUAUUCAAAUUUGUUAUGUAGUUUCAAUAGUUUGAAUUGCUGGAAGCUAAUCUGAGUUUGUUUACUGUUGAAUUAGGGUUUGCUAUUGCUUUGAAGUUUUCGUUUUGGACAUAAUUAACAAAUGGACAAGUUGAAACUAUCUCAAUGGGGGGAACAAGACAGGUGGGGCUCAAAUGAGUCGACUUGUAAGCGAUAAGGUAAAGGAAAUGCUGCAAACUCCUACACCUGAAUCUAAGAUGGUUGACGAGGCCACAAUGGAAACGAUGAAUGAGCCGAACUGGAGUAUGAAUUUGAGGAUAUGUGCAAUGAUCAAUUGUGAACAGUUUAGUGGGACUGAGAUUGUUCGGGCUAUAAAAAAGAAGAUUUCAGGUAAGAAUUGGGUGAGCCAGAAGCUGAGUCUUGACUUGCUGGAGGCUUGUACUCUGAAUUGUGAGAAGGUGUUCUCGGAGGUGGCAUCAGAGAAGGUAUUGGAUGAGAUGGUUAAGAU
Molecule: unclassified non-coding RNA, 489 nt
Filed under: Hevea brasiliensis (rubber tree)
Lineage: Eukaryota; Viridiplantae; Streptophyta; Magnoliopsida; Malpighiales; Euphorbiaceae
Source: RNAcentral